ACUUCACAAUAGAAAACCAGUUUCGUUUCUCUUCAUCUUCUGUCUCUAAUUCUUCUCUUUUCAUCUGAAACAUCUCCCCACCAUGAAAGAGAUUUCUGAAACACCUCCUCCAUGAAAGAAGAUCAAAGGCUACGGAAAUCUGAGGCUUAACAUAAGAUUUGAAUCAGAAACCAUUGCAGUUGCUGCCCACUUCUCAUUCUACGGAAAGGUGUACAUGAGAGGUACGAAACUUAGCUGGUGGUGGUGGCCAUUGAUCUAUGCAGGAUGAUUCAUGUUCCUAGAAAGAGUUGUUUGAAUUCAGCCUUGCUGACUGUGUAACUCCCUCAAAUGCGCCUAUGAUAAGUUGUGUACAUCUUAAAAAAGAAUAUCAAAUAUAAGAGAAUCUUAUCUUUGUGUAACAUAAAAAAUGAAAAAGAAAACCGAGAACGAUACCUUUUAUAGACUUGAAACGGGUAAAGCACUCGCAAUGUGUUUCUGCUUAAAUGUAAUAUGUGAGAACAUUUUAUUUGUGUAGAUUUUAGAGAUUAUUGAAUGAAAGUUUGUUUUGUUUGUUUUA
Papaver somniferum (opium poppy) is the source of this 556-nucleotide long non-coding RNA. RefSeq lists it as uncharacterized. NCBI's taxonomy places the organism in Eukaryota, Viridiplantae, Streptophyta, Magnoliopsida, Ranunculales, Papaveraceae. The record is from RefSeq and is a predicted model, not a curated record. The transcript is spliced from 3 exons.